CACCUCUACCCCAGCCGCUCAGAAACAGCGGAGGAGAGCAGGGCCGUGCUCACUGAUUGGUCCCUCGGUGGAGCGGGCCGGACCGGGCGUUCCCUUUGGAGCCAAUCAGAAAGGCGAGAGACCGAAUUGGCCGCUGCGCCUCCUCCCGAGGCAUGCUGGGAGCCUGGAGGACUAGCGAGGAGGAGUUGAGAGAACGGAGCGGACGCCAUGGCGACCAACAUCGAGCAGAUUUUUAGGUCUUUCGUGGUCAGCAAAUUCCGGGAAAUUCAACAGGAGCUUUCCAGUGGAAGGAAUGAAGGCCAGCUGAAUGGUGAAACAAAUACACCCAUUGAAGGAAACCAGGCGGGUGAUGCAGCUGCCUCUGCCAGGAGUCUACCAAAUGAAGAAAUAGUGCAGAAGAUAGAGGAAGUACUUUCUGGGGUCUUAGAUACAGAACUACGAUAUAAGCCAGACUUGAAAGAGGCCUCCAGAAAAAGUAGAUGUGUAUCUGUACAAACAGAUCCUACUGAUGAAAUUCCCACUAAAAAGUCAAAGAAGCAUAAAAAGCAUAAAAACAAAAAGAAGAAAAAGAAGAAAGAGAAGGAAAAAAAAUACAAAAGACAGCCAGAAGAAUCUGAGGCAAAGACGAAAUCUCAUCAUGAUGGGAACAUAGAUUUAGAAUCUGAUUCCUUUUUAAAGUUUGAUUCUGAACCUUCAGCUAUGGCGCUGGAGCUUCCUACAAGAGCAUUUGGCCUGUCUGAGACCAAUGAAUCCCCUGCAGUUGUGCUAGAACCUCCUGUAGUAUCAGUGGAGGUACCAGAGCCACACAUCUUAGAAACUCUGAAGCCAGCUACAAAAACUGCAGAACUGUCAGUUGCAUCUACAUCAGUAAUCUCAGAGCAGUCAGAGCAGUCUGUGGCAGUAACGCCAGAACCAUCCAUGACAAAGAUUCUGGAUUCCUUUGCAGCAGCACCAGUGCCUACUACAACAGUGGUGUUGAAGUCAUCUGAGCCAGUCGUAACAAUGUCAGUGGAGUAUCAGAUGAAGUCUGUGCUGAAAUCUGUGGAGAGCACAUCUCCAGAGCCAUCCAAGAUCAUGUUGGUAGAGCCCCCAGUAGCAAAAGUGUUAGAGCCUUCAGAAACCCUUGUGGUAUCAUCAGAGACACCUACUGAGGUGUACCCUGAGCCAAGCACAUCAACAACAAUGGAUUUUCCAGAGUCAUCUGCAAUUGAAGCGCUAAGAUUGCCAGAGCAGCCUGUAGACGUACCAUCGGAGAUUGCAGAUUCAUCCAUGACAAGACCGCAGGAGUUGCCGGAGCUGCCUAAGACCACAGCGUUGGAGCUGCAGGAGUCGUCGGUGGCCUCAGCGAUGGAGUUGCCGGGGCCACCUGCGACCUCCAUGCCGGAGUUGCAGGGGCCCCCUGUGACUCCAGUGCCGGAGUUACCUGGGCCCUCUGCUACCCCGGUGCCAGAGUUGCCAGGGCCCCUUUCUACCCCAGUGCCUGAGUUGCCAGGGCCCCCUGCGACAGCAGUGCCUGAGUUGCCAGGGCCCUCUGUGACACCAGUGCCACAGUUGUCGCAGGAAUUGCCAGGGCUUCCAGCACCAUCCAUGGGGUUGGAGCCACCACAGGAGGUACCAGAGCCACCUGUGAUGGCACAGGAGUUGCCAGGGCUGCCUUUGGUGACAGCAGCAGUAGAGUUGCCAGAGCAGCCUGCGGUAACAGUAGCAAUGGAGUUGACCGAACAACCUGUGACGACGACAGAGUUGGAGCAGCCUGUGGGGAUGACAACGGUGGAACAUCCUGGGCAUCCUGAGGUGACAACGGCAACAGGGUUGCUGGGGCAGCCUGAGGCAACGAUGGUGCUGGAGUUGCCAGGACAGCCAGUGGCAACAACAGCGCUGGAGUUGCCGGGGCAGCCUUCGGUGACUGGGGUGCCAGAGUUGCCAGGGCUGCCUUCGGCAACUAGGGCACUGGAGUUGUCGGGGCAGCCUGUGGCAACUGGGGCACUAGAGUUGCCUGGGCCGCUCAUGGCAGCUGGGGCACUGGAGUUCUCGGGGCAGUCUGGGGCAGCUGGAGCACUGGAGCUUUUGGGGCAGCCUCUGGCAACAGGGGUGCUGGAGUUGCCAGGGCAGCCUGGGGCGCCAGAGUUGCCUGGGCAGCCUGUGGCAACUGUGGCGCUGGAGAUCUCUGUUCAGUCUGUGGUGACAACAUCGGAGCUGUCAACGAUGACCGUGUCGCAGUCCCUGGAGGUGCCCUCGACGACAGCGCUGGAAUCCUAUAAUACGGUAGCACAGGAGCUGCCUACUACAUUAGUGGGGGAGACUUCUGUAACAGUAGGAGUGGAUCCCUUGAUGGCCCCAGAAUCCCAUAUAUUAGCUUCUAACACCAUGGAGACCCAUAUAUUAGCAUCCAACACCAUGGACUCCCAAAUGCUAGCGUCCAACACCAUGGACUCCCAGAUGCUAGCAUCCAACACCAUGGACUCCCAGAUGUUAGCGUCUAGCACCAUGGACUCCCAGAUGUUAGCAACUAGUACCAUGGACUCCCAAAUGUUAGCAACUAGCUCCAUGGACUCCCAGAUGUUAGCAACUAGCACUAUGGACUCCCAGAUGUUAGCAACCAGUUCCAUGGACUCCCAGAUGUUAGCAACCAGCUCCAUGGACUCCCAGAUGUUAGCAACCAGCUCCAUGGACUCCCAGAUGUUAGCAACCAGCUCCAUGGACUCCCAGAUGUUAGCAACCAGCACCAUGGAUUCUCAGAUGUUAGCAACCAGCACCAUGGACUCCCAGAUGUUAGCAACUAGCUCAAUGGAUUCCCAGAUGUUAGCAUCUGGCACUAUGGACUCUCAAAUGUUAGCUUCUGGCACCAUGGAUGCUCAGAUGUUAGCGUCUGGUACCAUGGAUGCCCAGAUGUUAGCAUCUAGUACCCAAGAUUCUGCUAUGUUGGGUUCAAAAUCUCCUGAUCCCUAUAGGUUAGCUCAGGAUCCUUACAGGUUAGCUCAGGAUCCCUAUAGGUUGGGCCAUGACCCCUAUAGAUUAGGUCAUGAUGCUUACAGGUUAGGACAGGACCCUUAUAGAUUAGGCCAUGAUCCCUACAGACUAACUCCUGAUCCCUAUAGGAUGUCACCUAGACCCUAUAGGAUAGCACCCAGGUCCUAUAGAAUAGCACCCAGGCCAUAUAGGUUAGCACCUAGACCCCUGAUGUUAGCAUCUAGACGUUCUAUGAUGAUGUCCUAUGCUGCAGAACGUUCCAUGAUGUCAUCUUACGAACGCUCUAUGAUGUCUUAUGAGCGGUCUAUGAUGUCCCCUAUGGCUGAGCGCUCUAUGAUGUCAGCCUACGAGCGCUCUAUGAUGUCAGCCUAUGAGCGCUCUAUGAUGUCCCCUAUGGCUGAGCGCUCUAUGAUGUCAGCUUAUGAACGCUCUAUGAUGUCAGCUUAUGAACGCUCCAUGAUGUCCCCAAUGGCUGAUCGAUCUAUGAUGUCCAUGGGUGCCGACCGGUCUAUGAUGUCGUCAUACUCUGCUGCUGACCGGUCUAUGAUGUCAUCGUACUCUGCAGCUGACCGAUCUAUGAUGUCAUCUUAUACUGCUGAUCGUUCAAUGAUGUCUAUGGCUGCUGAUUCUUACACCGAUUCUUACACUGACACAUAUACAGAGGCAUAUAUGGUGCCACCUUUGCCUCCUGAAGAGCCCCCAACAAUGCCACCGUUGCCACCUGAGGAGCCACCAAUGACACCACCGUUGCCUCCUGAGGAACCACCAGAGGGUCCAGCAUUGCCCACUGAGCAGUCAGCAUUAACAGCUGAAAAUACGUGGCCUGCAGAGGUGCCAUCAUUACCUUCUGAAGAGUCUGUAUCGCAGCCUGAGCCUCCUGUGAGUCAAAGUGAGAUUUCAGAGCCUUCAGCAGUGCCUACUGAUUAUUCAAUGUCAGCAUCAGAUCCCUCAGUUUUAGUAUCAGAGGCUACUGUGACUGUUCCAGAACCACCGCCAGAGCCAGAAUCUUCAAUUACAUCAACACCUGUAGAGUCUGCGGUAGUAGCAGAAGAACAUGAAGUUGUUCCAGAGAGACCAGUGACUUGUAUGGUGUCUGAAACUCCCACAGUGUCAGCUGAACCAACUGUGGUAGCAUCAGAGCCUCCUGUUUUGUCAGAGACAGCAGAAACAUUUGAAUCCAUGAGAGCCUCAGGAUAUGUUGCCUCAGAGGUAUCUACAUCCUUGUUGGAGCCAGCAGUAACUACUCCAGUGCUGGCAGAGAGCAUUCUGGAGCCUCCAGACAUGGCUGUCCCAGAGUCUUCGGCUAUGGCUGUCCUGGAGUCUUCGGCUGUGACCGUCCUGGAGUCUUCAACUGUGACCGUCCUGGAGUCUUCGACUGUGACUGUCCUGGAGCCUUCGGUUGUGACUGUCCCGGAGCCUCCUGUUGUGGCUGAGCCAGACUAUAUUACCAUUCCUGUGCCAGUUGUUUCUGUGCUGGAGCCUUCUGUGCCUGUCUUGGAACCAGCGGUGUCAGUCCUUCAACCUUCUAUGAUUGUUUCAGAACCAUCUGUUUCUGUCCAGGAGUCUACUGUGACAGUUUCAGAGCCUGCUGUCACUGUCUCAGAGCAGACUCAAGUAAUACCAACUGAGGUGGCUAUAGAGUCCACACCAAUGAUACUGGAAUCUAGUAUCAUGUCAUCACAUGUUAUGAAAGGAAUUAAUCUACCCUCUGGUGAUCAAAAUCUUGCUCCAGAGAUUGGCAUGCCGGAGAUUCCUUUGCAUUCAGGUGAAGAGCCACAUGCUGAGGUACACCUGAAAAGUGACUCUUAUGAAAGUGAACAUGGUAUAAAUAUAGACCUUAAUAUAAAUAAUCAUUUAAUUGCUAAAGAAAUGGAACAUAAUACAGUGUGUGCUGCUAGUACUAGUCCUGUUGGGGAAAUUGGUGAAGAGAAAAUUUUGCCCACCAGUGAGACUAAACAGUGCACAGUAUUGGAUAACUACCCUGGUGUUAGUGAAGCUGAUGCAGGAGAAACUCUAUCUUCUACUGGUUCUCUUGCUCUGGAACCUGAUGCAACAGGAACUAGUAAGGGUAUUGAAUUUAUCACAACAUCUACUCUCAGUUCAGUUAAUAAAUAUGAUAUUGAUGUAUCUUUAACUACUCAAGAUACUGAACAUGACAUGGUAAUUUCUACCAGUCCUAGUGGUGGUAGUGAAGCUGACAUUGAAGGGCCUUUGCCUGCUAAAGAUAUUCAUCUUGAUUUACCAUCUAAUAAUAACCUUGUUAGUAAGGAUACAGAAGAACCAUUACCUGUAAAAGAGAGUGACCAGACGUUAGCAGCUCUGCUCAGCCCUAAAGAAAGUAGUGGAGGAGAAAAAGAAGUACCUCCCCCUCCUAAAGAGACACUGUCUGAUUCAGGAUUUUCUGCCAAUAUUGAGGAUAUUAAUGAAGCAGAUUUAGUGAGACCAUUACUUCCUAAGGACAUGGAACGUCUUACAAGCCUUAGAGCUGGCAUUGAAGGACCUUUACUUGCAAGUGAUGUUGGACGUGACAAAUCUGCUGCCAGCCCGGUUGUAAGUAGUAUGCCAGAAAGAGCUUCAGAGUCGUCUUCAGAGGAAAAAGAUGAUUAUGAAAUUUUUGUAAAAGUUAAGGACACUCAUGAAAAAAGCAAGAAAAAUAAGAACCGUGAUAAGGGUGAGAAAGAGAAGAAAAGAGACUCUUCAUUAAGAUCUCGAAGUAAGCGUUCCAAGUCUUCUGAACACAAAUCACGCAAGCGUACCAGUGAAUCUCGUUCUCGGGCAAGGAAGAGAUCAUCUAAGUCCAAGUCUCAUCGCUCUCAAACACGUUCACGGUCACGUUCAAGACGCAGGAGGAGGAGCAGCAGAUCAAGAUCAAAGUCUAGAGGAAGACGAUCUGUAUCAAAAGAGAAGCGCAAAAGAUCUCCAAAGCACAGAUCCAAGUCUAGGGAAAGGAAAAGAAAAAGAUCAAGCUCCAGGGAUAACCGAAAGACAGUUAGAGCUCGAAGUCGAACCCCAAGUCGCCGGAGUCGGAGUCAUACUCCAAGUCGUCGACGAAGGUCUAGAUCUGUGGGUAGGAGAAGGAGCUUUAGCAUUUCCCCAAGCCGCCGGAGCCGCACCCCAAGCCGCCGCAGCCGUACCCCCAGCCGCCGGAGCCGCACCCCCAGCCGUCGAAGCCGUACCCCCAGCCGCCGGAGCCGCACCCCCAGUCGUCGGAGCCGCACCCCAAGCCGCCGGAGAAGAUCGAGGUCUGUGGUAAGACGACGAAGCUUCAGUAUCUCACCAGUCAGAUUAAGGCGAUCAAGAACACCCUUGAGAAGAAGGUUUAGCAGAUCUCCCAUCCGUCGUAAAAGAUCCAGGUCUUCUGAACGAGGCAGAUCACCCAAACGUCUGACAGAUUUGGAUAAGGCUCAAUUACUUGAAAUAGCCAAAGCUAAUGCAGCUGCCAUGUGUGCUAAGGCUGGUGUCCCUUUACCGCCAAACCUAAAGCCUGCACCUCCACCUACUAUAGAAGAGAAAGUUGCUAAAAAGUCAGGAGGAGCUACUAUAGAAGAACUAACUGAGAAAUGUAAACAGAUCGCACAGAGUAAAGAAGAUGAUGAUGUAAUAGUGAAUAAACCUCAUGUUUCGGAUGAAGAGGAAGAAGAACCUCCUUUUUAUCAUCAUCCCUUUAAACUCAGUGAACCCAAACCUAUUUUUUUCAAUCUGAAUAUUGCUGCAGCAAAACCAACUCCACCAAAAAGCCAGGUAACAUUAACAAAAGAAUUCCCUGUAUCAUCUGGAUCUCAACAUCGGAAAAAAGAAGCGGAUAGUGUUUAUGGAGAAUGGGUUCCUGUAGAGAAAAAUGGUGAAGAAAACAAAGAUGAUGAUAAUGUUUUCAGCAGCAAUUUGCCCUCAGAGCCUGUGGACAUCUCUACAGCAAUGAGUGAACGAGCACUUGCUCAGAAAAGACUCAGUGAGAAUGCAUUUGACCUUGAAGCCAUGAGCAUGUUAAAUAGAGCUCAGGAAAGGAUUGAUGCCUGGGCUCAGCUGAACUCUAUUCCUGGCCAGUUCACAGGAAGUACAGGAGUACAGGUUUUGACACAAGAACAGUUGGCCAAUACUGGUGCCCAAGCCUGGAUUAAAAAGGAGUGUUCCCUGGAAAAGAGGGACGGAUGAACCUGGAAGUAAGUAAAAGACAUUCUAGGUGUGUAGCAUCAAGGCAGUUAAUAUCCAAGCAUCAGCUUUCUCUUUAUACAUCUACACUGCAUGGCCUGCACCAAAUAAGGAACUGAACCAGGGGUAUGUUUUUACCUCCACAGCUGCCUCCUUCCAUCAGAGCAUCUUGAUGAACUUAAUGUCUAGUCACACAUCAUUGGCAUGUUUUCUCCCCAGCAUUUAAUUAUAAAGCUGGGAAACAAAAGAUGAUAGUUUUACUACUGCAUACAAACAUGUUUUUUUUUUUUUUUACAUUCAGUAUUAACUUAUCAAUAUAGGAGAUGUGAAUACAUACUAUUUCCUGAGCUACCAAAGUUUUUUUACUCUGUUGAUAAGUUAAUGACUUUUGCUAUAUGUAUAUUUAUAUAUAUAUUUGGUAGAGAACAUAAAAACAUAAAAUUUAGUAACAAGGGGAAAAUAAAGCAUGAUCUGGAGAUACAUGUUUCAAAUUUUUAAAAAGUGGCCAUAAAGAUCAACAGUAGAAUUUAAUACUGUUAUAUGUACAUGGAUGCCCUUUAAUAAGAGGCAUUGAAUAUUUCUUAACCUGUAAAAAUAAGUGUUGAUCAUGCUAAUGUAUAUACUUGUGCAUCUUAGGACAUUAAGUGGUUUGCUGCUUUGAUGGAAAUUAUGGUUCAGUGGGUUGGAUACAAGAGAGAUGAUUGUUCACAGAAUAACCUGUGAACUUUCACCCCUCUGUAUGGAAACUUGUUUCAGGGCCAAAUCCUUGUAGCUGUCUUCUUGCCCCGGUCAGUGCCAGCCGUACUAUUCACAACAUUGCUGCUACCGAGGCCUAGGAUCAGUUCUUAAGAGCAGCCCCGGUAACUGGAGGAAUGGGAGCCGUUUUGAUGAGAAAAAUGGGCUGGAGAGAAGGAGAAGGAUUAGGAAAAAACAAAGAAGGCAAUAAGGAACCCAUUCUAGUUGAUUUUAAGACAGACCGAAAAGGUCUUGUUGCAGUAGGAGAAAGAGCACAAAAGAGGUCUGGGAACUUCUCUGCUGCAAUGAAAGAUCUGUCAGGCAAACAUCCUGUGUCUGCUUUGAUGGAAAUCUGUAAUAAGAGAAGGUGGCAACCACCUGAAUUUCUGUUGGUCCAUGAUAGUGGCCCUGAUCAUCGCAAACAUUUUCUUUUUAGGGUAUUGAGAAAUGGAAGCCCUUACCAGCCCAAUUGUAUGUUUUUCUUGAAUAGGUAUUGAUAAAUGGAAGCGCUUACCAGCCCAGCUUUGCCAGCCCUAAUAAGAAGCAUGCUAAAGCCACAGCAGCUACUGUGGUUCUUCAAGCAAUGGGCCUUGUACCAAAGGACCUCAUGGCUAAUGCCACUUGCUUCAGGAGUGCCUCACGUAGAUAGAUUGAGGUUUUAUAAUAAUCAUUUCAGAUAAUUUUACUCUGCAUCACAAUGUAUUUCCUCUUUAAUGUUGUAAAUAUUUGGCAAUUUAAGACAUUGUGUAAAAAGCAAUCUGUAAAAACAUCUCCAGGCUUUGAUUUUUGUACCAUGGAAAUUGUAUUUAACCAUACAGGGUUUUGGUAUGUUUAUAUUGUUUACCUUAGUGAUGUAUUUGUUUAAGUGGCUAACAUCCAAACGAUUGUUUGAAGGCAUCAGAGUAAUCUUCAGUGUGGAAUGUUAAAUAACGCUUUUAUACUGUAUUUUGUACUAUGAUGUAACUCCCCUUCCUUAUGGCUAGGCUACUGUAACACUUGCCUGUAAUCAGUGAAGGGCUGUGCACCUUGUACUAUUUCACAAUGGGUUCUGCUGGACAGAUACUGGGCCAGUGUUAUUGAGGUGAUCAAGAUCUGUUCCACAGGGCUAUUGCCACAAUCUCCCCUCAAAAUUUUGUAGAGGUUCUAAAAAGAAAGUGGUAUGUUGUGUGAUGAUCAGCACUAAGUCCUGCAUUCCUGUUAAAGCCACUUGGGUCAUAAGAAGGGAGUAAAAAAUGAAGUCUGACUAGAAUUCUACUAUUGCAGAGGCCAAGUACAUUUAGUAUGGCAUUGAGUUGUGAUAUAGUUUUACUUUGAUGUGCAUUUUGAAUUUCAGCUACACCUAGAUAGACGUAAAAUGAUAAUUAAAAUGCUGUAACCAACUUAUCUAAUAAAAUUGGCAACCAGCCACUAUUUUGUUGACUAUGAGAAAGUUAAAGUUUAUGUUAAUUUUUAGGGUCCGAUAGAAUAUUUCAUGUGUAUUACAGUGGUAUUCAUAUGCUAUGUCUCUAAACUUUAUUUUCAAAAGCUUAAGGCCCAAAUACAAACUUCUCUGGAAUAAA
Macaca mulatta (Rhesus monkey) is the source of this 9413-nucleotide non-coding RNA. Lineage: Eukaryota; Metazoa; Chordata; Mammalia; Primates; Cercopithecidae. The record is from RefSeq and is a predicted model, not a curated record.